This 253-nucleotide ribosomal RNA is filed under the name uncultured bacterium. Its description in RNAcentral is "partial 16S ribosomal RNA". It matches the Rfam family "Bacterial small subunit ribosomal RNA", at positions 524 to 776 of the family's 1533-position model. The record is from RNAcentral.
UACGAAGGGGGCUAGCGUUGCUCGGAAUCACUGGGCGUAAAGGGUGCGUAGGCGGGUUUUUAAGUCAGGGGGGAAAUCCUGGAGCUCAACUCCAGAACUGCCUUUGAUACUGAAGAUCUUGAGUCCGGGAGAGGUGAGUGGAACUGCGAGUGUAGAGGUGAAAUUCGUAGAUAUUCGCAAGAACACCAGUGGCGAAGGCGGCUCACUGGCCCGGUACUGACGCUGAGGCACGAAAGCGUGGGGAGCAAACAGG